This 484-nucleotide ribosomal RNA is filed under the name uncultured bacterium. Its description in RNAcentral is "partial 16S ribosomal RNA". It matches the Rfam family "Bacterial small subunit ribosomal RNA", at positions 30 to 507 of the family's 1533-position model. The record is from RNAcentral.
AUUGAACGCUGGCGGAAUGCUUUACACAUGCAAGUCGAACGGCAGCACGGGGGCAGCCCUGGUGGCGAGUGGCGAACGGGUGAGUAAUACAUCGGAACGUGCCCGGUCGUGGGGGAUAACGUAGCGAAAGUUACGCUAAUACCGCAUACGAUCUGGGGAUGAAAGCGGGGGACCUUCGGGCCUCGCGCGAUCGGAGCGGCCGAUGUCAGAUUAGGUAGUUGGUGGGGUAAAGGCCUACCAAGCCGACGAUCUGUAGCUGGUCUGAGAGGACGACCAGCCACACUGGGACUGAGACACGGUCCAGACUCCUACGGGAGGCAGCAGUGGGGAAUUUUGGACAAUGGGCGCAAGCCUGAUCCAGCCAUUCCGCGUGCAGGACGAAGGCCUUCGGGUUGUAAACUGCUUUUGUACGGAACGAAAAGGCUCUGGCUAAUACCUGGGGCUCAUGACGGUACCGUAAGAAUAAGCACCGGCUAACUACGUG